AGAAUCAACGCUGGCGGCGUGCCUAACACAUGCAAGUCGAACGAGAAAGGGUAGCAAUACCUGAGUAAAGUGGCGCACGGGUGAGUAACACGUGACUAACCUACCUUUUAGUGGGGGGAUAACCUAGGGAAACCUGGGCUAAUACCGCAUAAUACCUACGGGUCAAAGCAGCAAUGCGCUGAAAGAGGGGGUCGCGGUCGAUUAGUUAGUUGGCAGGGUAAUGGCCUACCAAGACUGUGAUCGAUAUCCGGCCUGAGAGGGCGCACGGACACACUGGAACUGAAACACGGUCCAGACUCCUACGGGAGGCAGCAGUGGGGAAUUUUGCGCAAUGGGGGAAACCCUGACGCAGCAACGCCGCGUGGAGGAUGAAGUCCCUUGGGACGUAAACUCCUUUCGAUCGGGACGAUAAUGACGGUACCGGAAGAAGAAGCCCGGCUAACUUCGCGCCAGCAGCCGC
This 460-nucleotide ribosomal RNA is filed under the name uncultured bacterium. RNAcentral's name for it is "SSU rRNA". It matches the Rfam family "Bacterial small subunit ribosomal RNA", at positions 26 to 518 of the family's 1533-position model. The record is from RNAcentral.